ACAAGGUUUCCGUAGGUGAACCUGCGGAAGGAUCAUUGUC
This 40-nucleotide ribosomal RNA is filed under the name Dubautia sp. HNPV03Du. RNAcentral describes it as "partial 18S ribosomal RNA". The record is from RNAcentral. Lineage: Eukaryota; Viridiplantae; Streptophyta; Magnoliopsida; Asterales; Asteraceae.